RNAcentral lists this transfer RNA (69 nucleotides) under Urocitellus parryii (Arctic ground squirrel). Its description in RNAcentral is "Spermophilus parryii (Arctic ground squirrel) tRNA". It matches the Rfam family "tRNA". Rfam says of the family: Transfer RNA (tRNA) molecules are approximately 80 nucleotides in length. Their secondary structure includes four short double-helical elements and three loops (D, anti-codon, and T loops). Lineage: Eukaryota; Metazoa; Chordata; Mammalia; Rodentia; Sciuridae. RNAcentral also lists the same sequence under 1 other name. The record is from Rfam by way of RNAcentral.
GGGGUUGUGGCUCAGUGGUAGAGUGCUCACCUAGAAUGCGUGAGGCACUAGGUUCAAUCCUCAGCACCA